GACGAACGCUGGCGGCGUGCUUAACACAUGCAAGUCGAACGGAAAGGCCCUGCUUUUGUGGGGUGCUCGAGUGGCGAACGGGUGAGUAACACGUGAGUAACCUGCCCUUGACUUUGGGAUAACUUCAGGAAACUGGGGCUAAUACCGGAUAGGAGCUCCUGCUGCAUGGUGGGGGUGGGAAAGUUUCGGCGGUUGGGGAGGGACUCGCGGCUUAUCAGCUUGUUGGUGGGGUAGUGGCUUAGCAAGGCUUUGACGGGUAGCCGGCCUGAGAGGGUGACCGGCCCCGUUGGGCCUGAGCUACGGCCCAGACUCGUACGGGACGCGGCGGUGGGGAAUAUUGCCCAAUGGGAGGAAGCCUGAUGCAGCAACGCCGCGUCCGGGAUGACGGCCUUCCGGUUGUGAACCGCUUCCGCCUGUGACGAAGAGUGAGUGACGGUAAUGGGUAAAGAAGCACCGGCUAACUACGUG
This 468-nucleotide ribosomal RNA is filed under the name uncultured bacterium. RNAcentral's name for it is "partial 16S ribosomal RNA". It matches the Rfam family "Bacterial small subunit ribosomal RNA", at positions 28 to 507 of the family's 1533-position model. The record is from RNAcentral.